Molecule: ribosomal RNA, 303 nt
Filed under: Triticum aestivum (bread wheat)
Lineage: Eukaryota; Viridiplantae; Streptophyta; Magnoliopsida; Poales; Poaceae
Description: partial small subunit ribosomal RNA
Source: RNAcentral
GUUUUAAGUGCGCUCCCCACUUUUGCCCUGACUGUUUUGAAGGUGCCGAAGAAGCUCCUAGACGAGGUGGACAAGAUCAGAAGACGCUUUCUAUGGGAUCAAGAAGAAGGGGUCAGUGGUGGGAAAUGCAAAGUAAGCUGGCCGGUGGUGUGCACUCCGAUCGACAACGAUGGACUGGGCAUCUCAAAUUUGCAUCGCUUCGGCCGUGCACUCAGACUCAGGUGGUUGUGGUUCUCUUGGAUCACACCCAGUAGGCCUUGGGUGGGCAUGCAGCUGCCAUGCGACCAAGGAGACAGAGAUCUC